UACGAAGGGGGGCUAGCGUUGCUCGGAAUCACUGGGUUUAAAGGGUGCGUAGGUGGAAUGGUAAGUCAGUGGUGAAAUCUCCAAGCUUAACUUGGAACUGCCGUUGAUACUAUCAUUCUUGAAUAUCGUGGAGGUAAGCGGAAUAUGUCAUGUAGCGGUGAAAUGCUUAGAUAUGACAUAGAACACCGAUUGCGAAGGCAGCUUGCUACACGAUCAUUGACACUGAGGCACGAAAGCGUGGGGAUCAAACAGG
This 253-nucleotide ribosomal RNA is filed under the name uncultured bacterium. RNAcentral describes it as "partial 16S ribosomal RNA". It matches the Rfam family "Bacterial small subunit ribosomal RNA", at positions 524 to 776 of the family's 1533-position model. The record is from RNAcentral.